CAGAAUAUAGCUUAUACAAAGCAUUUUGCUUACACCAAGAAAAUAUCAAACAACCCAGAUUAUUCUG
RNAcentral lists this transfer RNA (67 nucleotides) under Dendrotriton bromeliacius (Volcan Tajumulco bromelidad salamander). Its description in RNAcentral is "tRNA-Val". Lineage: Eukaryota; Metazoa; Chordata; Amphibia; Caudata; Plethodontidae. The record is from RNAcentral.